RNAcentral lists this long non-coding RNA (215 nucleotides) under Ricinus communis (castor bean). RNAcentral's name for it is "long non-coding RNA (RCOM_LNC002574)". Lineage: Eukaryota; Viridiplantae; Streptophyta; Magnoliopsida; Malpighiales; Euphorbiaceae. The record is from RNAcentral.
AACAAAAUGAGAACAUAGGUAGGAUUUUUGAACCGAUAAAGAAAUUAAUCACAAGUUCUUUGUUCUCUUCGAUGCGGCUAAGUGUAAGGAUCAAAUCGAAUUGAUUUAAACAUAAGGAUAGACAAAGAACACAAAAGAAAGGAAGGAUGUGGGCCAUAAGUCUAUGCUCGUUAAGAAAGAAAAUUUGUUGAUCAAGUAUUAAUAUAAUUCCUUCA